This 862-nucleotide ribosomal RNA is filed under the name Peniophora nuda. RNAcentral describes it as "LSU rRNA". It matches the Rfam family "Eukaryotic large subunit ribosomal RNA", at positions 73 to 964 of the family's 3401-position model. The record is from RNAcentral. Lineage: Eukaryota; Fungi; Basidiomycota; Agaricomycetes; Russulales; Peniophoraceae.
AUCCCCUAGUAACUGCGAGUGAAGCGGGAUGAGCUCAAAUUUAAAAUCUGGCGUCUUCGGCGUCCGAGUUUGUAAUUUAGAGAAGCGUUUUCCGCGCCGGACCGUGUACAAGUCUCCUGGAACGGAGCGUCAUAGAGGGUGAGAAUCCCGUCUUUGACACGGACCCCCGGUGCUCUGUGAUACGCUCUCGAAGAGUCGAGUUGUUUGGGAAUGCAGCUCAAAAUGGGUGGUGAACUCCAUCUAAAGCUAAAUAUUGGCGAGAGACCGAUAGCGAACAAGUACCGUGAGGGAAAGAUGAAAAGCACUUUGGAAAGAGAGUGAAACAGUACGUGAAAUUGUUGAAAGGGAAACGCUUGAAGUCAGUCGCGUCCGCCAGGAUUCAGCCUCACGGUGUACUUUCUGGUGGACGGGCCAGCAUCACUUUCAAUCAUCGGACAAGGUCGAGAGGAAUGUGGCACCUUCGGGUGUGUUAUAGCCUCUUGUCGUAUACGGUGACUGGGAGUGAGGACCGCCUUUGUAGGAUGCUGGCGUAAUGGCUUUAAACGACCCGUCUUGAAACACGGACCAAGGAGUCUAACAUGCCCGCGAGUGUUUGGGUGGAAAACCCAUGCGCGUAAUGAAAGUGAAAGUUGGGAAGGCUGUCGCGGCCUGCACCGACGCCCGGACUCGAGAUUUAUCUAAGGUUCUGCGGUAGAGCGUGUAUGUUGGGACCCGAAAGAUGGUGAACUAUGCCUGAAUAGGGUGAAGCCAGAGGAAACUCUGGUGGAGGCUCGUAGCGAUUCUGACGUGCAAAUCGAUCGUCAAAUUUGGGUAUAGGGGGCGAAAGACUAAUCGAACCAUCUAGUAGCUGGGUUCCUGCCGA